This 1004-nucleotide ribosomal RNA is filed under the name Staphylococcus sp. Its description in RNAcentral is "bacterial SSU rRNA". It matches the Rfam family "Bacterial small subunit ribosomal RNA", at positions 51 to 1043 of the family's 1533-position model. Lineage: Bacteria; Bacillati; Bacillota; Bacilli; Caryophanales; Staphylococcaceae. The record is from RNAcentral.
AGGCACUGCGUAGCCUACUAUAAGGAGCUUGCUCCUUUGAAGUUAGCGGCGGACGGGUGAGUAACACGUGGGUAACCUACCUAUAAGACUGGAAUAACUUCGGGAAACCGGAGCUAAUGCCGGAUAACAUAUAGAACCGCAUGGUUCUAUAGUGAAAGAUGGUUUUGCUAUCACUUAUAGAUGGACCCGCGCCGUAUUAGCUAGUUGGUAAGGUAAUGGCUUACCAAGGCGACGAUACGUAGCCGACCUGAGAGGGUGAUCGGCCACACUGGAACUGAGACACGGUCCAGACUCCUACGGGAGGCAGCAGUAGGGAAUCUUCCGCAAUGGGCGAAAGCCUGACGGAGCAACGCCGCGUGAGUGAUGAAGGUUUUCGGAUCGUAAAACUCUGUUAUUAGGGAAGAACAAAUGCGUAAGUAACUGUGCGCAUCUUGACGGUACCUAAUCAGAAAGCCACGGCUAACUACGUGCCAGCAGCCGCGGUAAUACGUAGGUGGCAAGCGUUAUCCGGAAUUAUUGGGCGUAAAGCGCGCGUAGGCGGUUUCUUAAGUCUGAUGUGAAAGCCCACGGCUCAACCGUGGAGGGUCAUUGGAAACUGGGAAACUUGAGUGCAGAAGAGGAAAGUGGAAUUCCAUGUGUAGCGGUGAAAUGCGCAGAGAUAUGGAGGAACACCAGUGGCGAAGGCGACUUUCUGGUCUGUAACUGACGCUGAUGUGCGAAAGCGUGGGGAUCAAACAGGAUUAGAUACCCUGGUAGUCCACGCCGGAAACGAUGAGUGCUAAGUGUUAGGGGGUUUCCGCCCCUUAGUGCUGCAGCUAACGCAUUAAGCACUCCGCCUGGGGAGUACGACCGCAAGUUGAAACUCAAAGGAAUUGACGGGGACCCGCACAAGCGGUGGAGCAUGUGGUUUAAUUCGAAGCGACGCGAAGAACCUUACCAAUCUUGACAUCCUUUGAAACUCUAGAGAUAGAGCCUUCCCCUUCGGGGACAAGUGACAGGUGGUG